RNAcentral lists this ribosomal RNA (223 nucleotides) under uncultured bacterium. RNAcentral's name for it is "partial 16S ribosomal RNA". It matches the Rfam family "Bacterial small subunit ribosomal RNA", at positions 15 to 230 of the family's 1533-position model. The record is from RNAcentral.
GAUCAUGCUCAGGAUGAACGCUAGCUACAGGCUUAACACAUGCAAGUCGAGGGGCAGCAUGGUCUUAGCUUGCUAAGACUGAUGGCGACCGGCGCACGGGUGAGUAACACGUAUCCAACCUGCCGUCUACUCUUGGACAGCCUUCUGAAAGGAAGAUUAAUACAAGAUGGCAUCAUGAGUCCGCAUGUUCACAUGAUUAAAGGUAUUCCGGUGGACGAUGGGG